Molecule: long non-coding RNA, 629 nt
Filed under: Hordeum vulgare
Lineage: Eukaryota; Viridiplantae; Streptophyta; Magnoliopsida; Poales; Poaceae
Description: long non-coding RNA (HVUL_LNC019090)
Source: RNAcentral
CCUGAUUAAGAAUUCCAACAUAUCUAUUACAUGGGAUUGAAACAAUUCCUAUUACAAUAUGCUACAAGAAAAAUCCUCCUCGUGGUCGACAUUGAACUCCGGCCUGGGAACUUGAAGUUUAUCUGCGUAGAUUAUCUUCGACACCGUUAUGUUUGAUGGUUUGCCAUAUAUCUCUGUAUCUUUCAAGCAUAGGAUACAUCCAUGCAUUUUCAAUAUUUAACACUCAUAUCAUGGAAUUCAUUUCAGAGAACCCCUGCUUGGAGCAUAAUUGUUGUUUCUAUUUGGUUGAUGGUUUAUGCCAUAAUUGUCUACUUGUUAUAUGGAUGUUGUAUGCCAUGGAAUUCGUAUGAGAGAACCCAUGUCAUAGCGUAGCUUUAUUAUUUUAUGGCUCAUGCCGCGGAAUUCGUAUGGAAGAAUCCAUGCCAUAAGAUUUUUUUUAUAUAUUUUUUAUCAUCUUGUGACUUAUGUCGUGGAAUUCGUAUGAAGGAACCCACGACGUAAGAUACUAUGUAUGUUUUUUAUUUUACGACUUAUGUCAUGGAAUUCAUAUGCAAAGAACCCAUGACAUAGCAUAAUUUGUAUUUCCUUUGGUUUUAUGACUUAUGCCAUGGAAUUCAUAUGAGAAGAAC